This 426-nucleotide ribosomal RNA is filed under the name uncultured bacterium. RNAcentral's name for it is "partial 16S ribosomal RNA". It matches the Rfam family "Bacterial small subunit ribosomal RNA", at positions 354 to 796 of the family's 1533-position model. The record is from RNAcentral.
GUGAGGAAUUUUCCGCAAUGGGCGAAAGCCUGACGGAGCAAUGCCGCGUGAAGGAUGAAGGCCUAUGGGUUGUAAACUUCUUUUCUUAGAGAAGAAUAUUGACGGUAUCUGAGGAAUAAGCAUCGGCUAACUCUGUGCCAGCAGCCGCGGUAAGACAGAGGAUGCAAGCGUUAUCCGGAAUGAUUGGGCGUAAAGCGUCUGUAGGUGGCUUCAAAAGUCUCCUGUCAAAGAUCAGGGCUUAACCCUGAGACGGCAGGAGAAUCUCGUAGGCUAGAGUUUGGUAGGGGCAGAGGGAAUUCCCGGGGGAGCGGUGAAAGGCGUAGAGAUCGGGAGGAACACCAAAGGCGAAAGCACUCUGCUGGGCCACAACUGACACUGAGAGACGAAAGCGAGGGGAGCAAAAGGGAUUAGCUACCCCAGUAGUCC